RNAcentral lists this ribosomal RNA (459 nucleotides) under uncultured Actinomycetes bacterium. RNAcentral describes it as "bacterial SSU rRNA". It matches the Rfam family "Bacterial small subunit ribosomal RNA", at positions 423 to 896 of the family's 1533-position model. Lineage: Bacteria; Bacillati; Actinomycetota; Actinomycetes. The record is from RNAcentral.
UUGUAAACCGCUUUCAGUAGGGAAGAAAAUGACGGUACCUACAGAAGAAGGUGCGGCCAACUACGUGCCAGCAGCCGCGGUGACACGUAGGCACCAAGCGUUAUCCGGAUUUAUUGGGCGUAAAGAGCUCGUAGACGGUUUGGUAAGUCGGGUGUGAAAACUCUGGGCUCAACCCAGAGAGGCCACCCGAUACUGCUAUGACUAGAGUACGGUAGGGGAGCGGGGAAUUCAUGGUGUAGCGGUGAAAUGCGCAGAUAUCAUGAGGAACACCAGCGGCGAAGGCGCCGCUCUGGGCCGUAACUGACGCUGAGGAGCGAAAGCAUGGGUAGCAAACAGGAUUAGAUACCCUGGUAGUCCAUGCCGUAAACGUUGGGCACUAGGUGUGGGUCUCAACCAACGAGAUCCGCGCCGUCGCUAACGCAUUAAGUGCCCCGCCUGGGGAGUACGGUCGCAAGACUA